UUGACGGGGGCCCGCACAAGCGGUGGAGUAUGUGGUUUAAUUCGAUGCAACGCGAAGAACCUUACCUGGUCUUGACAUCCCGGAGACCCUUAGGAAACUAGGGGGUGCUUCCAUCUGGAGAAUCUGGAGACAGGUGCUGCAUGGCUGUCGUCAGCUCGUGUCGUGAGAUGUUGGGUUAAGUCCCGCAACGAGCGCAACCCUUGCCUUUAGUUGCCAGCAGUUCGGCUGGGCACUCUAAAGGGACUGCCGGUGUUAAACCGGAGGAAGGUGGGGAUGACGUCAAGUCCUCAUGGCCUUUAUGACCAGGGCUACACACGUACUACAAUGGCCGAUACAAAGGGCAGCGACACUGCGAGGUGAAGCCAAUCCCGUAAAAUCGGUCUCAGUCCGGAUUGGAGUCUGCAACUCGACUCCAUGAAGUUGGAAUCGCUAGUAAUCGUGGAUCAGCAUGCCACGGUGAAUACGUUCCCGGGCCUU
RNAcentral lists this ribosomal RNA (477 nucleotides) under uncultured Desulfobulbus sp. RNAcentral's name for it is "bacterial SSU rRNA". It matches the Rfam family "Bacterial small subunit ribosomal RNA", at positions 910 to 1382 of the family's 1533-position model. The record is from RNAcentral. Lineage: Bacteria; Pseudomonadati; Thermodesulfobacteriota; Desulfobulbia; Desulfobulbales; Desulfobulbaceae.